This is a long non-coding RNA of Mytilus californianus (California mussel), 286 nucleotides long. RefSeq lists it as uncharacterized. The transcript is spliced from 2 exons. The record is from RefSeq and is a predicted model, not a curated record. NCBI's taxonomy places the organism in Eukaryota, Metazoa, Mollusca, Bivalvia, Mytilida, Mytilidae.
AGGGACGAAAGAUACCAGAGGGACAGUCAAACUCAUAGAUCGAAAACAAACUGACAACGCCAUGGCCAAAAAUAAAAAGACAAACAGACAAAUAAUAGUACAGAUGACACAACAUAGAAAACUAAAGACUAAGCAACACGAACCCCACCAAAAACUGGGGGUGAUCUCAGGUGCUCCGGAAGGGUAAGCAGAUCCUGCUCCACAUGUGGCACCCGUCGUGUUGCUUAUGUUAUUACAAAUCCAGUAAAUAGUCUAAUUCGGUAGGUCACAUUCGUGAAAAGAGAAG